RNAcentral lists this ribosomal RNA (748 nucleotides) under uncultured fungus. RNAcentral's name for it is "eukaryotic LSU rRNA". The stretch from base 184 to 338 matches the Rfam family "5.8S ribosomal RNA". Lineage: Eukaryota; Fungi. The record is from RNAcentral.
GGUUGUUGCUGGCCCCCAAACCGGGCACGUGCACGCCCUGUUUACGCAUCCACUCACACCUGUGCACCCUCUGUAGUUCUGUGGACCGGGAGACGUCGUCUUCCUUCCGUGGCUCUACGUCUUUACACACACGCCGUAGCGAAGUCUCAUGGAAUGUUUUUCGCGUUUAACGCAAUACAAUACAACUUUCAGCAACGGAUCUCUUGGCUCUCGCAUCGAUGAAGAACGCAGCGAAAUGCGAUAAGUAAUGUGAAUUGCAGAAUUCAGUGAAUCAUCGAAUCUUUGAACGCACCUUGCGCCCCUUGGUUAUUCCUCGGGGCAUGCCUGUUUGAGUAUCAUGAACACCUCAACUCUCGUGGUCUUCCAUGAUGAGCUUGGACUUUGGGGGUUUGCUGGCCCUGUGGCCGGCUCCUCUCAAACGAAUCAGCUUGCCAGUGUUUGGCGGCGUCACGGGUGUGAUAACCAUCUACGCUUGCGAUCGCCUGCCAGAUAACCCUCAGCGAUGAAGGUUCAUUGGGGCUYACAAAAGUCUCUCCACRGCGAGGACGAAUUUUGAAUGUUCGAUCUCAAAUCAGGUAGGACUACCCGCUGAACUUAAGCAUAUCAAUAAGCGGAGGAAAAGAAACUAACAAGGAUUCCCCUAGUAACUGCGAGUGAAGCGGGAAGAGCUCAAAUUUAAAAUCUGGCGUGCCUCCGGUCGUCCGAAUUGUAGUCUGGAGAAGCGUUUUCCGUGCUGGACCGUGUACAA